RNAcentral lists this transfer RNA (69 nucleotides) under Rattus norvegicus (Norway rat). It matches the Rfam family "tRNA". Rfam says of the family: Transfer RNA (tRNA) molecules are approximately 80 nucleotides in length. Their secondary structure includes four short double-helical elements and three loops (D, anti-codon, and T loops). Lineage: Eukaryota; Metazoa; Chordata; Mammalia; Rodentia; Muridae. The record is from Rfam by way of RNAcentral.
GGGGAUUUGGCUCAGUGGUAGAGCGCUUGCCUAGGAAGCACAAGGUCCUGGGUUCAGUACCCAGCCCCG